RNAcentral lists this transfer RNA (76 nucleotides) under Desulfobacca acetoxidans. RNAcentral's name for it is "tRNA-Met". It matches the Rfam family "tRNA". Rfam says of the family: Transfer RNA (tRNA) molecules are approximately 80 nucleotides in length. Their secondary structure includes four short double-helical elements and three loops (D, anti-codon, and T loops). The record is from RNAcentral. Lineage: Bacteria; Pseudomonadati; Thermodesulfobacteriota; Desulfobaccia; Desulfobaccales; Desulfobaccaceae.
GGGCCCAUAGCUCAGCGGUAAGAGCAACCGGCUCAUAACCGGACGGUCCCUGGUUCGAAUCCAGGUGGGCCCACCC